UGUCUCAGUUCGGAUUGGAGCUGNAACCCGACUCCAUGAAGCUGGAUUCGCUAGUAAUCGCGCAUCAGCCACGGCGCGGUGAAUACGUUCCCGGGCCUUGUACACACCGCCCGUCAAGCCAUGGAAGCCGGGGGGUGCCUGAAGUGCGCUGCCGCGAGGAGCGCCCUAGGAUAAAACCGGUGACUGGGGCUAAGUCGUAACAAGGUAGC
This 209-nucleotide ribosomal RNA is filed under the name uncultured bacterium. RNAcentral describes it as "partial 16S ribosomal RNA". It matches the Rfam family "Bacterial small subunit ribosomal RNA", at positions 1284 to 1500 of the family's 1533-position model. The record is from RNAcentral.